This 253-nucleotide ribosomal RNA is filed under the name uncultured bacterium. RNAcentral's name for it is "partial 16S ribosomal RNA". It matches the Rfam family "Bacterial small subunit ribosomal RNA", at positions 524 to 776 of the family's 1533-position model. The record is from RNAcentral.
UACAGAGGGGGCAAGCGUUAUUCGGAAUUAUUGGGCGUAAAGGGCGCGUAGGCGGCCUGGCAAGUGGAAGGUGAAAUCCCUCGGCUUAACCGAGGAACUGCCCUCCAAACUGCUUGGCUUGAGUCCGGGAGAGGAGAGUGGAAUUCCCUGAUGUAGCGGUGAAUGCGUAGAUAUCAGGAAGAACACCCGUGGCGAAAGCGGCUCUCUGGAACGGUACUGACGCUGAGACGCGAAAGCGUGGGGAGCGAACAGG